This 389-nucleotide ribosomal RNA is filed under the name Picozoa sp. RNAcentral describes it as "partial small subunit ribosomal RNA". It matches the Rfam family "Eukaryotic small subunit ribosomal RNA", at positions 582 to 975 of the family's 1831-position model. Lineage: Eukaryota; Picozoa. The record is from RNAcentral.
AUUCCAGCUCCAAUAGCGUAUAUUAAAGUUGUUGCAGUUAAAAAGCUCGUAGUCGGAUUUUGGCAUCACGCCGAACUGUCUGCCGAUUGGUAAGUACGGUUUGGCGGGUGCUUCCUUCCGGAGGCUCGUUCCCUUCUUCAUUGAAGGGUUCGUUGGUUCCGGGUCUUUUACUUUGAGAAAAUUAGAGUGUUCAAAGCAGGCCUAUGCUCUGAAUAGGUUAGCAUGGAAUAAUAGAAUAGGACUUUGGUUCUAUUUUGUUGGUUUCUAGGACCGAAGUAAUGAUUAAUAGGGACAGUUGGGGGCAUUCAUAUUCCAUUGUCAGAGGUGAAAUUCUUGGAUUAACGGAAGAUGAACUUCUGCGAAAGCAUCUGCCAAGGAUGUUUUCAUUG